AUGCCGCGCCACCGCCGCUGCAGCCGGCUGCGCCGCAUCGUCGGCGGCGUCUCAGUCGGAGCUCUCCUGCUGUUAGCCGGAAGCGGAGGCCACAACGCCUACGCGGGCCGCCCGGUCUUCUCGUUGCCCCUCGGCCUCGGCGCCCCCUUCCCGCUCGUCGCCGACAGUCCGGCGCCCCCGCCCUUCCCGUUCGCUGCCGACUUUUCGCCGUCGCCGUCCCCGUCCCCGCAAUCCCAAUACUCGCCCUUCCGCCUCAGUGAUGACAGCCUCGCGCGGCGCCUUCUCCCCCUCCGCCUCCGCGCCGGCCACUCGCCGCCGCCGCAGGAGGCGGAUGCGGUCCUCCUUCCCGACCAGGAGGUCCUGGUCCUCGACGACACUGAGCCUACCGGCGACUCCAUCUGCGCCUUCCAGGGUGGGGCGUCCUCCCCGGCGAGACCGCUCGGGAGGCUGCCGGCGUCCGGGCUUCACGCAUACGUCUGCCGCCUUCCCGAGCCAGCGCAGAGCUUCCAGCAGCUCCAAGCGCCGCUCUUACUCCACUCCUCCACCUCCUCGGCCGCCGCAGCUGCUCCAGAUCCUCCUUCUCCUUCUCCGGGCCGCGCAUUGCUUAACUGGAGCAGCGACCCGAUAGUGUUUGACUCGGCUCUUCUGGACGGAGGCGACGUGCUCGUCUUCGCUAAGGGAAUCAGCCGCCGCCAAGGUCUUCGGUGCCUGUAUCGCUACAGCGACGGCGCCGAUACCAUGCUGGCAUCUACGCCGGCAAUCAGCUCAGUACAGCAAGUUACUCGCUGCCCCUCGCCGCCUACACCUGUCAAGUCAGGAGGAAGCACCAAGGUUCUUGUCACACUAGGGGUCACCGGCGAGGAUCCCAUGCCCUCCCUUGCAACCUUUCGUCGACAGCAAGCUGAAUCUUCUUCGCUGACUCCCCACAAGAGUUCAAUUUGCGCCUGCACAAUGGGACGCAACAUCUCCAAGUUUCUCAGGGAGUGGGCACUCUACCAUAGUGCGAUUGGGGUGGAUCAGUUCUUUAUCUACGAUAAUGGCAGCGAGGACAACUUGGCAGGCCUAGUGGCGCAGCUCAUAUCCUCCGGGCUCAACAUCACAACCGUGCCAUGGCCUUGGACCAAGGUCCAAGAAGCUGGUCUGUCUCAUUGCGUGGCCACACAGCAAGCUUCGUGCCAAUGGAUGGCUGUCAUAGAUGUUGAUGAGUUCAUCUUCCAACAAGCUGGGCAGGAUUGGAGAAGCCAUCAAAAUCUUUGCUAG
Molecule: ribosomal RNA, 1260 nt
Filed under: Triticum aestivum (bread wheat)
Lineage: Eukaryota; Viridiplantae; Streptophyta; Magnoliopsida; Poales; Poaceae
Description: partial small subunit ribosomal RNA
Source: RNAcentral